This 253-nucleotide ribosomal RNA is filed under the name uncultured bacterium. Its description in RNAcentral is "partial 16S ribosomal RNA". It matches the Rfam family "Bacterial small subunit ribosomal RNA", at positions 524 to 776 of the family's 1533-position model. The record is from RNAcentral.
GACGUAGGGUGCCAGCGUUGCUCGGAAUUACUGGGUGUAAAGGGUUCGUAGGCGGUGUGGCAAGUCGGGAGUGAAAUCUCUGGGCUUAACUCAGGGGCUGCUUCCGAAACUGCCGUGCUAGAGUGUGGGAGAGGCGAGUGGAAUUGCAGGUGUAGCGGUGAAAUGCGUAGAUAUCAAGAGGAACACCUGAGGUGAAGACGGGUUGCUGGGCUGAUACUGACGCUGAGGAGCGAAAGCUAGGGUAGCAAACGGG